Molecule: ribosomal RNA, 711 nt
Filed under: Corynebacterium confusum
Lineage: Bacteria; Bacillati; Actinomycetota; Actinomycetes; Mycobacteriales; Corynebacteriaceae
Description: bacterial SSU rRNA
Rfam family: Bacterial small subunit ribosomal RNA
Source: RNAcentral
CUCAGGACGAACGCUGGCGGCGUGCUUAACACAUGCAAGUCGAACGGAAAGGCUYCAGCUUGCUGGAGUACUCGAGUGGCGAACGGGUGAGUAACACGUGGGUGAUCUGCCCUGCACUUCGGGAUAAGCCUGGGAAACUGGGUCUAAUACCGGAUAGGACCGCACUUUGGUGUGUGUGGUGGAAAGUUUUUUCGGUGUAGGAUGAGCCCGCGGCCUAUCAGCUUGUUGGUGGGGUAAUGGCCUACCAAGGCGGCGACGGGUAGCCGGCCUGAGAGGGUGGACGGCCACAUUGGGACUGAGAUACGGCCCAGACUCCUACGGGAGGCAGCAGUGGGGAAUAUUGCACAAUGGGCGGAAGCCUGAUGCAGCGACGCCGCGUGGGGGAUGACGGCCUUCGGGUUGUAAACUCCUUUCGCCAGGGACGAAGCGUUUUUGUGACGGUACCUGGAUAAGAAGCACCGGCUAACUACGUGCCAGCAGCCGCGGUAAUACGUAGGGUGCGAGCGUUGUCCGGAAUUACUGGGCGUAAAGAGCUCGUAGGUGGUUUGUCGCGUCGUCUGUGAAAUUCCGGGGCUUAACUCCGGGCGUGCAGGCGAUACGGGCAGGCUUGAGUACUGUAGGGGUAACUGGAAUUCCUGGUGUAGCGGUGAAAUGCGCAGAUAUCAGGAGGAACACCGAUGGCGAAGGCAGGUUACUGGGCAGUUACUGACG